Long non-coding RNA from Strigops habroptila (Kakapo), 167 nucleotides. RefSeq lists it as uncharacterized. The transcript has 3 exons. Lineage: Eukaryota; Metazoa; Chordata; Aves; Psittaciformes; Psittacidae. The record is from RefSeq and is a predicted model, not a curated record.
CAAGAUCCAUGGAUUUGUGAUGAGCAGGCACUAUGGCCUAACUAAAACCUGAAGCCCACACCACAGACCUGAAGGAUCUCUUCUAUCUGCAGGGCUGAAUAACCACAGCACUUUGUAAGAUCAAGUCCUCUUCUUAUUAGUGUUGUUCAUACUUUGCACAGUCUGGA